CUUGGCGUUCACUGCAAGCUAUGAGCUCUGCAAGUGGUGCCCCGGACGUGAUCGCCUUGAAGUUACGUGUGAAGGAGGAGAGCUCAUUACUUUUCGGGGAAUCCUGAGAACAGGACCAGUCGUUGGAGAACCACCCAACAAUGAUGUGAUGACUCGGAAGGCAGCUGACAUCACCUGGGGACAGCUAAAGAAAUUGAAUCAACAAGCAUCUAUCCAGCUUGCCGCCGUGGAAGCCCCUGCAACUGCAGACAAUCGGUUUCUUACGUAUCUGGCGGUAAUUGGGGAAACUUCUGAGAAAGUAAGACAGACAUGGAUGUUGGGGUGGCGGGCACUUGCAGAUGGCUCUGUGCUGCCACCCGACGCAUCUAUGACCAGGGAAGAAUCAUGGAAGCUUACCUUGCAUUGGAUGACCAGCAUGCUGUAAGAAUUAAAGAAGGGGGGGAUAUGGGGGGUGUACGACAACAUAUCCAAGCUUAGGUACAAGGCGUUUGAGGUCGGGGCGUGGAAACAUACUGAGGCACUGUGUGUAUGUUAUUUGUGCAUGAGAAUGAAACUCCUUGACCCUGAAAACAGCACGGGGAGUGGAGUGUGUGGCGUGAUAAGGAACGCUGAAAACAGCCUCCCGAGAAUGCGGUUUGCGUGCUUGUACCAGGCCACAGGUGUCUCACGACCCGACCUCAAAAAGGCCAUCUAGUGGAUGUUUGUGGUUUAACAAGCCCUUUCAAUGAAUACUUGGCGGACAGAUGCUGGGGCGGAGUCUCUUAGGAGAGCUGCCCCCGGCCCCCCUCAGCUGGAUUUGUCUGAGAACUCAUUCUUGGCGUUCCACUGCAAGCUAUAAGCUCUGCAAUGGGCCCUGAAAAAAAAAAAUCGAUACUACGAUGACUCCCGUAUGUAUUUCUUCAGCCCAGGUCCAGACCUUUGUCUACUCAACUUCUCCACGUGGAUACCUAAUAGGCAUCUCAAAUUUAAAUAUCCAAAACCAAACUCCUGACAUUAAACACAAGAAGCAAGAAAAAUGAACAUAUUUUCUGAUUCCACUAAUAUAAAAGUACAUAACAGUCAACACCAAACCAUAUUAUUAUUAUUUCUUGAAUUGAACUUUUAUUUUAAGUUCAGAGGUACAUGUACAGGUUCGUUACAUAGGUAAACUUGUGUCGUGGGGGUUUCUUGUAGAAAUUGUUUCGUCACCCAGUGAUUAAGCCUAGUACCCAUUCGUUAUUUUUCCUGCUCCUCUCCAUCCUCCCACCCUCCACCGUCCAAUAGGCCCCAGUGUGUGUUGUUCCCCUCUUUGUGUCCCUGUGUUCUCAUCAUUUAGCUUCCACUUGUAAGUGGGAAUAUGCGAUAUUUGGUUUUCUGUUCCUGCAUUAGUUUGCUAAGGAUAAUGGCCUCCAGUUCCAACCAUGUUCCUGCAAAGGACCUGAUCUCAUUCUUUUUUAUGGCCGUAUAGUAUCCCAUGGUGUAUAUGUACCACAUUUUCUUUAUCCAGUCUACCAUUGAUGGGCAUUUAGGUUGAUUCCAUAUCUUUGGUAUUGUGAAUAGUGCUGCAAUGAAUAUACACGUGCACGUGUCUUGAUAACAGAAUGAUUUAUUAUAUUCCUUUGGGUAUAUGCUCAGUGAUGAGAUUGCUGGGCCGAAUGGUAUUUCUGUCUUCAGGUCUUCGAGGAAUCACCACAUGGUCUUCCACAAUGGUUAAACUAAUUUACACUCUCACCAACAGUGUAUAAGUGUUCCUUUUUCUCUGCAACCUCGCCAGUAUCCAUUAUUAUUUUUUUUUCACUUUGUAAUAAUAGCCAUUCUGACUGGCGUGAGAUGGUAUCUCAUUGUGGUUUUGAUUUGCAUUUCUGUAAUGGUCAGUGAUGUUGAGCGUUCCUUCACAGGAUUGUUGGCCGCAUGUAUGUCUUGUUUUGAAAAGUGACUGUUCAUGUCCUUUGCCCACUUUUUAAUGGGGUUGUUUGGUUUUUUUCUUGUAAAUUUGUUUAAGUUCCUUAUAGAUGCUAUUUGUUUGUCACAUCUCUGAUUUCCUUGAGCAGUAUUUUGUAGUUCUUCUUGUAGAGAUCUUUCACCUCCCUGGUGUGGUGUAUUCCUGGGUAUCUUGGUGUGUGUAGCAAUUAUGAAUGGGACUGUGUUCCCAAUUUGGCUCUCUGCUUGACUGUUGUUGGUGUAUACGAAUGUUUGCGAUUUUUCCCAUUGAUCUGGUAUCCUGAGACUUUGCUGAAGUUGAUUAUCAGCUUAAGGAGCUUUGGGGCUGACACUGUGUGGUUUUCUAGACUUAGGAACAUGUCGUCUGCAGGCAUACUGUAGUAUUAAAAGAAUGUAAUAUAGGACAUAGGACAGAAAAACGUAGAGAAAAAAGAGGAAAGAAUGAUCACAAAUGUAAAUGUGUUGGUUUCCUCUUGAAGGAGGAAUGAGGCUGAGAUCAGGCAGAGACACCCCAGGAGCUUUGGGGAAUGCUGGCGGUGUUCUCCUCUGUGACAUGGGGGUGUUUCUGUAGAGGUGCCCUUGAUAAUCACUUAUUAAACAACACGCACAUAUUGUGAAGUUCUCUCUAUGUAUGUUACAUUUCAAAAUAAAGAGGGGCGAAAUUGCUAAUAAGAAAUAACACGCAUUUGUAGUUAAACACUUCUCACAAUCCACAGACCUGGAAAUGACUGAUUAGUUUUCUGUAUGUGUAGUUUUCCAGUUUUAAGAAUGUUCUACAAAUGGAAUCACACAUUAUGUAGCAUUUCAUAUUUGGUGUCUUUAGCACAGUGAAAUACAUAUAAGACCUCUAGAACUGCAAUGUACUCUUUCUUGACCUCAGUACUCAAUACGUGUUUUCAUCACUUCACAAUAGUUCAUUCACAGUCGAUUGGUUUUCUAAACUUGUAUAUAUGUGUAGUAUGCUUUAUAAAUAUCAUAUGAUGGUUAACUUUAUGUAAUUUGUUAUAUCUUGGUAAUGGACUUUUCUUAAAAAUGGAUAGUAUCCCUAAGAAUACCCCGUACAUUUCCAUUGC
RNAcentral lists this long non-coding RNA (2993 nucleotides) under Pongo abelii (Sumatran orangutan). Its description in RNAcentral is "lincRNA". Lineage: Eukaryota; Metazoa; Chordata; Mammalia; Primates; Hominidae. The record is from RNAcentral.